GUAUGUAGUAUAAUACCGUUUAAAGAGAUAAUUAGGUGUGAUAGGCUUCCCAAAAGCUAAGAUAUCUUGAUAGCGCUGAAACGUAUUUAGUACGAAAAACAAAUAUAGAGUGUUUAGGCUCUAUAUGUACCUAAAAGUAGAUUAAGGUAUUCAAGGUAUAAUCACCUUACAUCCAUAAACAAUAUCAUAAAUGUUUAUCUGUUAUAGGGCGAUUAGGAGCUUCUAGUAAAGUUAUAACCUAAAGUAAUAAUGUUCCCAUGAGUAUUAAAAGUAGGCGCCAGGAAUGAACUCGGCAAAGAAUGUCCUCAACUGUUUACCAAAAACAUAGCUGUAUGGGUCUAUAUAUAGUUAUUUCUGCUCAAUGUAUUAUAAAUAGCCGCAGUACCUUGACUGUGCAAAGGUAGCAUAAUCAAUUGGCUUAUAAUUGAAGUCUGGAAUGAAGGAAAAAAUGGGGGCAGACUAUAUAAUUGGCGUGGCAACAAAUUACUUAAUAAGUGAAAAGUCUUAUAUUUAAAUAAUAGACGAGAAGACCCUAGAAAUUUUAAAGGACGGUUUUCCCUUUGGUUUUUGUUGGGGCGACACAGUAGCAUUUUAAACCUACUAAGCAUUAUUAGGAAAGUUUUAUUAAGGGUAAUUAAAUUACUCUAGGGAUAACAGCAUGAUAUUUAAAAGUUUGUGACCUCGAUGUUGGACUAGGAAAUUAUAUACCCAGAAGGUUAUUAAUUUGGCUCUGUUCGAGCUCGUUUCUCCUACAUGAUCUGAGUUCAGACCGGCGUAAGCCAGGUCAGUUUCU
This is a ribosomal RNA of 793 nucleotides. It matches the Rfam family "Archaeal large subunit ribosomal RNA", at positions 1626 to 2708 of the family's 2987-position model.